RNAcentral lists this ribosomal RNA (263 nucleotides) under uncultured bacterium. Its description in RNAcentral is "partial 16S ribosomal RNA". It matches the Rfam family "Bacterial small subunit ribosomal RNA", at positions 91 to 354 of the family's 1533-position model. The record is from RNAcentral.
CUUAGUGGCGGACGGGUGAGUAACGCGUGGGUAACCUGCCUUACACUGGGGGAUAACACUUAGAAAUAGGUGCUAAUACCGCAUAAGCGCACGAAGCCGCAUGGAUUUGUGUGAAAAACUCCGGUGGUGUAAGAUGGACCCGCGUCUGAUUAGCUCGUUGGCGGGGUAACGGCCCACCAAGGCGACGAUCAGUAGCCGGCCUGAGAGGGUGGACGGCCACAUUGGGACUGAGACACGGCCCAAACUCCUACGGGAGGCAGCAG